UACGGGAGGCAGCAGUGGGGAAUAUUGCACAAUGGGCGAAAGCCCUGAUGCAGCUAUGCCGCGUGUAUGAAGAAGGCCUUAGGGUUGUAAAGUACUUUCAUCGGGGAAGGAAAAACAAAACUAAUAAUUUUAUUUCUUGACGUUAACCCGAAAAAGAAGCACCGGCUAACUCCGUGCCAGCAGCCGCGGUAAUACGGAGGGUGCUAGCGUUAAUCAGAAUUACUGGGCGUAAAGAGCACGUAGGUGGUUUUUUAAGUCAGAUGUGAAAUCCCUGGGCUUAACCUAGGAACUGCAUUUUGAAACUGAAAUACUAGAGUAUCGUAGAGGGAGGUAGAAUUCUAGGUGUAGCGGUGAAAUGCGUAGAUAUCUGGAGGAAUACCUGUGGCGAAAGCGGCCUCCAAACGAAUACUGACACUGAGGUGCGAAAAGCGUGGGGAGCAAACAGGGAUUAGAUACC
RNAcentral lists this ribosomal RNA (457 nucleotides) under uncultured bacterium. RNAcentral describes it as "bacterial SSU rRNA". It matches the Rfam family "Bacterial small subunit ribosomal RNA", at positions 340 to 786 of the family's 1533-position model. The record is from RNAcentral.